This 240-nucleotide unclassified non-coding RNA is filed under the name soil metagenome. Its description in RNAcentral is "partial contains 5.8S ribosomal RNA, internal transcribed spacer 2, and large subunit ribosomal RNA". The record is from RNAcentral.
AACACUGUUAACCUGCGGUACCUGCGGAGGGAUCAUUAUUGAAUAAACUUGGUCAAGCUGUUGCUGGUCCUUCGGGACAUGUGCACGCUUGCCACCAAUUUUAACCACCUGUGCACUUUUUGUAGACUUGGAAACGUUUCUCGAGGCAACUCGGAUUGAGAGCUGCUGGCGCAAGUCGGCUUUUCUUAUGUUUUCUCAGUCUAUGUUUUCAUAUACACCUAAUGUAUGUAUCAGAAUGUA